CCCUGGCCCUGUGGCGGCCCCGCCUGGCCGGGCCCGGGCGGGGUCUGGGUCUGGCUGGGGAGGGUGAAGUCGGUGAACUCGAACUCGGAGCCCUGCGUGUCGGCGCCGAGCAGCUCGGCCUCCUCGGUGUCCAGGAAGGAUAAAGCCUGGCCUGAAUCAACAUGUUCCAGACCUGCAGCUGCUGGGCUGAAAAGAUGGAGACUGGAAAACAUCCUUAUCCUGGGAAUAUUGUGCAGCAAAAGGAGGGGAAAAAACAAAUCCAGAGAACACAGGACUCACCACUUCUGCAGAGAGACUGAAUUCAUCUCGUUUUUAAGUAGAAUCAACCGUUCAGAGCAAAGAGCAACGGGGAGAAAGCUUGAAAUAACAUUUGAGGAUGAAAGUAGAACCAGAGGGGAGGGGAAAAAAAAAAUAAAUACUACAAAGCCAGGUGGCAGCUUGCUGCAAACACUUUUUAUUUAUUAAUAAACACAACACACUCCAAACCUUUGGCUGCUUGGCAGAAUCCUCAAAAGUCUUGGAAAGGGAUCAAAGUUCUGCUGCUCCGCCGGCUUCCUCUCGCUGUCCCUGCCGCAGCUCGGGGGAUAAGGGUGUGGAAAAGCCCCUCGCGUGCCAGCAGCGGUGGCUCUGUCCCCUCAGGGUGGCCUUGGGGACGCUUUGGUGCUGCUGUCUGAGGUGCUGAAGCCGCAGGAGCGGCUGGGAAAGCAAACUCGGGAUUCUCUUUGCACACGUGGAUUUCGGGAUCGUUCUGCUCCAGCGCUUGGAAGCCACUUGGAAGCUUUUUAAGGGUGAAAUGGAUGCAGAGGCAGGCUGCAGAGCUCCCAGGCUGUGUGGGUUUUGGGUUUUUUUUGGUGUUUUGUGUGAGUUUUCUCCCUCAAAGCCGGGCUGCUGCAGAGGAGAGGCUGUGACUCACUGGGCUUUGCCUGCUGUGCAGCCGGUGUGGAAUUUAAACCAGGCAAAAAACUGGCACGGCUCCCUGCCAACGGCGCCGAGCUCCCCUGCAGAUCACAAGCUGGAAUUGAGGAGAGAAGAAAACGUUUAAUUGGGGAUAAAUAUUCCCUGAACAAGUCACGGGGAUGUGAGUCCCUGAAGGAAAAGGAGGAGAAGAUUUUGGCCAAGAUCCAGGGGUUUUGAAUGAAGAAAGUUCUCAGAAAUUAUGGUGAGUGACAUUAAAAGAUAGCAAAUAAUAGAAGAUAACAGAUAAUAAAAGAGAAAUAAUAAAAGAUAACAGCAGGAGAUGAAAAGGAAAUGAAACUUGGUGCUCUAAACCAGCUCCAAAUGGAUACUAAAAAUAAAUAAAUAUAUAAAUUCCAAUAAAUUGGGGUUGAAUAUUAAAAUAAGAGUUAAAAAUACUGAUUUUCAGCAGGAAACUUGACAUCCUUCCCUCCAAAAAUUGUGUUAAAAAUCCCUUUCCUUGAAAAGAGCUGAGACAACAGAACAGGAUUCAAGGAAUUAAUACAGAGAAAAAAGCUUUUUAUGGACAGAACUUGUGCCUUUUGUGGGUUCAGAAUCACCAUGUGAAGUUAAAACUCACUAAGAAAAAGCCAAGGGGUUCCUAAAAUCCAAGGAAAAACUGCUGGAAUUCCUGAAUUCAUUCAAGGAGAUCUUUGGGAGGAUCUGUUCCCUGUUAAAGCUGCCUCUGGAAGGAGCAGAGCUGUUCAAAAUC
Molecule: long non-coding RNA, 1666 nt
Organism: Onychostruthus taczanowskii (white-rumped snowfinch)
Lineage: Eukaryota; Metazoa; Chordata; Aves; Passeriformes; Passeridae
Exons: 3
Source: RefSeq, a predicted model, not a curated record